GACGAACGCUGGCGGCGUGCCUAAUACAUGCAAGUCGAGCGAAUGACGAGAAGCUUGCUUCUCUGAUUUAGCGGCGGACGGGUGAGUAACACGUGGGCAACCUGCCCUACAGAUUGGGACAACUCAGGGAAACCUGGGCUAAUACCGGAUAAUCCUUCGAAUCACAUGUUUUGAAGUUGAAAGGCGCUUCGGCGUCACUGUAGGAUGGGCCCGCGGUGCAUUAGCUAGUUGGUGGGGUAACGGCCUACCAAGGCAACGAUGCAUAGCCGACCUGAGAGGGUGAUCGGCCACAUUGGGACUGAGACACGGCCCAAACUCCUACGGGAGGCAGCAGUAGGGAAUCUUCCACAAUGGACGAAAGUCUGAUGGAGCAACGCCGCGUGAGUGAUGAAGGUUUUCGGAUCGUAAAACUCUGUUGUAAGGGAAGAACAAGUACGUUAGGAAAUGAACGUACCUUGACGGUACCUUAUUAGAAAGCCACGGCUAACUACGUGCCAGCCGCCGCCGUAA
Molecule: ribosomal RNA, 510 nt
Filed under: uncultured bacterium
Lineage: Bacteria
Description: partial 16S ribosomal RNA
Rfam family: Bacterial small subunit ribosomal RNA
Source: RNAcentral